RNAcentral lists this transfer RNA (74 nucleotides) under Planctomycetota bacterium. Its description in RNAcentral is "tRNA-Pro". It matches the Rfam family "tRNA". Rfam says of the family: Transfer RNA (tRNA) molecules are approximately 80 nucleotides in length. Their secondary structure includes four short double-helical elements and three loops (D, anti-codon, and T loops). The record is from RNAcentral. Lineage: Bacteria; Pseudomonadati; Planctomycetota.
CAGCGACUAGCUCAGUUGGUAAGAGCGCAAGAUCUGGAAUCUUGUUGUCGUGGGUUCGAAUCCCACGUCGCAUG